GGCGAACGCUGGCGGCAGGCUUAACACAUGCAAGUCGAGCGGGCGUAGCAAUACGUCAGCGGCAGACGGGUGAGUAACGCGUGGGAACGUACCUUUUGGUUCGGAACAACACAGGGAAACUUGUGCUAAUACCGAAUAAGCCCUUACGGGGAAAGAUUUAUCGCCGAAAGAUCGGCCCGCGUCUGAUUAGCUAGUUGGUGAGGUAACGGCUCACCAAGGCGACGAUCAGUAGCUGGUCUGAGAGGAUGAUCAGCCACAUUGGGACUGAGACACGGCCCAAACUCCUACGGGAGGCAGCAGUGGGGAAUAUUGGACAAUGGGCGCAAGCCUGAUCCAGCCAUGCCGCGUGAGUGAUGAAGGCCCUAGGGUUGUAAAGCUCUUUUGUGCGGGAAGAUAAUGACGGUACCGCAAGAAUAAGCCCCGGCUAACUUCGUGCCAGCCGCCGCAGUAAGAC
Molecule: ribosomal RNA, 454 nt
Filed under: uncultured bacterium
Lineage: Bacteria
Description: bacterial SSU rRNA
Rfam family: Bacterial small subunit ribosomal RNA
Source: RNAcentral